This 1898-nucleotide ribosomal RNA is filed under the name human gut metagenome. RNAcentral describes it as "bacterial LSU rRNA". It matches the Rfam family "Bacterial large subunit ribosomal RNA", at positions 23 to 2152 of the family's 2925-position model. The record is from RNAcentral.
GGUGGAUACCUUGAUAUUUAUUAAUUUAUAUGGACGUUAUUUAUUUACGAAAAUAUUUAUUGAAUUUUAUAUUAUGAAAUAAAUGUUUCCAAUGAGAAAACUUUUUCUGAAUGAAAUUAAGUUAAAAAUUAGUGAAUUGAAACAUCUUAGUAACUAAGUAAAAAAAUCAAACGAGAGUCUGUGAGUAGUGGCGAACGAAAAUGGAUAAGGGUUUAAAUUAAACAAUUAUUAAAAUUUAUAAAUUAACAUAGAUGGUUUAUAAUUCCAGUAUAAGUUUAAUUUUGUUUAAUUUUAGAGUAAAACGAAAUAGGUGUAAUUUUGUUUGAAGAUAAGGGAACCAUCCUUUAAGCCUAAAUAAAAUAAAUAAUCGAUAGUGAACAAGUACUGUGAAGGAAAGGUGAAAUAGAAUUUACGAAAUUGAAAUAGAACUUGAAAUCUAAUGCUUUUAGCAAUUGGAGCUUUAAUUGAAAAGUGACAAUGUACCUUUUGUAUAAUGGACCAGUAAGUUUAUUUAUAUAGCAAGUUUAAAUUGUUAAAUGGAAACGUAGUGAAAGCGAAUUUGAAAAGAAUUAUUUUUAGUUAUAUAAAUAAGACCCGAAACCAAGUGAUCUAAUUAUGAACAAGUUGAAAAAAUAUUAAAUUAUUUUUGAGGACUGAACCCGUGUCUGUUGCAUAAGAUUGGGAUGAUUUGUGAUUAGGGGUGAAAGGCUAAUCAAACUUGGAGAUAGCUGGUUUUCUGUGAAAUCUAUUUACGUAAAGUAUUAAAAUUAUUUUUUUGGGGUAGAGAUAUCGAUAAAAGAGGGUUGCCUAUAAAGCUUUACUAAUUUUAAGGAAACUUCGAAUACGAAAAAAUAUUUUAAUAAACGGACUUAUAAUGCUAAGGUUGUAAGUCGAGAGGGAAACAGCCCAGAUUGUUUAUUAAGGUCUUUAAAUUUUUUCUUAUAAAAAAUAAGAUAUUAAAUGAAUAUAACUAAGAGUUAGGUUCAGAAGCAGCCAUUCUUUAAAGAAAGCGUAAAAGCUCAUUAGUUUAAUUUAGUAUUUUUUACGAUGUAUAGAGAUUUAAAAGAAAAAUACCGAAAUAGCAAAUUAAAUUUUAUUUUAAAAAUUUAAUAGUAACAGAACGUUCUGUAUGCAAAAAGAUAAAUUGAAAAAUUUAUUAAUGUAUCAGAAGUGAUAAUACUGGUAUGAGUAAUAUAAAUAAUAUUAAAUAGGUAAUUAAAUAUUAUCGUCGAAAAUUUAAGGUUUUUAAUUUAUAAUUGUUAAACAAAAUUAAGUAAUACGGUUUCUAAAAAUUUAAGUGAAAACUUAGUUUGAUGAAUAUUAUAUUCAGAAACUUUUAAAUUUAUAGUUAAUACAAAAUUAUAUUUAAAAUUCAAAAUAUCUGGAUUAGAAAACCGUACUUAAAACCAACAAUGGUAAAUGGGUAGAGUAUACUAAGACGAAAAAGUGAAUCAUAGUGAAGGAACUCGGCAAAUUAACCUUGUAACUUCGGAAUAAAAGGUUUUUAUUAAGUGUAUUUUAAUUAAUAAAAAAAUAGAAAAGGGGGUAGCGACUGUUUAAUAAAAACACAGGACUUUGCAAAAUUGUAAAAUGAUGUAUAAGGUCUGACACCUGCCAGGAACUGUGUAGUUAAAAUUGGAGAGAAUUUAUUUUCAAUCUAAGCAGCAGUAAUCGGCGGCCAUAACUCUGAUGGUCCUAAGGUAGCGAAAUUCCUUGUCAACUAAUUAUUGACGUGCAUGAAUGGUGUAACGACUUCCCCACUGUCUCCACUAUGAGCUUUGUGAAAUUGAAAUAUUUGUGAAGAUGCGAAUUAUAUAUGGUUAGACGGAAAGACCCCGUGCACCUUUACUACAUUUUUUAAUUGAUUAUUUUUAUAAAAGUGUGUAGCAUAAGUGGGA